Molecule: long non-coding RNA, 1274 nt
Organism: Lingula anatina
Lineage: Eukaryota; Metazoa; Brachiopoda; Lingulata; Lingulida; Lingulidae
Source: RefSeq, a predicted model, not a curated record
GGCACAGUUCCAGCAGUAGUUCAGACGAGAGUGCUCCUGCCACCCCUGCUCCAGCCACUCCAAGCAGUGAGAAGAAAAAGAAGAAGAAAAAGAAAGAGAGUGCAGAAGAACCAGAUGUGGAGAAAUCUGAAAAGAAAAAGAAGAAGAAAAAGAAACACAAAAAGGAAAGUGCUGACAGUGAUUGACAGUAACAGAUUGGUGAAUGAAACGUAAUUCUUUUGAAAGAAAGAAUUCUUAAAAAAAGAGAAAAUGAAAGGAUGACAGAUAUGGAAAGCAGCAGAGAAAAAAGCAUGAGAAUGACUUAAGAAUAAAGCAAGCUGGACUUUGGGGGGACCAGUGACAGAUGUAUAAGUAGAAAAUGAAUAAAGAGGGUUCUUCAGGAAGAUUCCCACGUGAACAGUUAUGGUUUUCAAGGAGAGUAGGAAAAGAUUUUUCUGAAUAUUGGCAGGUUUCCAACUUUUUUGGAGCCAAAACUAUCAUUUUUGAUAUCGAUGCAGAUCUGCGAUAAAAAAGGGGGAUGGGGGUUAGUUCUGGUCCCGACGCCUUAUUUUAAGAUUUGUUUAGAAGAGGCCAUGACCUCUUUAUUACUGUACUUGAUAAGUGAUGGCUCAAUGAUGCGUCUCAGUAGAGCAGAAAGUGCGGGGUAUUGAUAGUAUAUGUAGAUGCUUAUGACCCAUCUAUAGAUACAGUUUCAUUGAAUGUCAUGAAUAUACAAAGAACUGAGCCGAAAUUGCAAGCUGAACAGUUGGUAGGAGAGCUAAUUAUAACUACAUUAGCAAAUCUUGCUUUUUUUAACCAUUGAAAGUAAUGUUUGGUAAUUUUUAUUACAUUUCAUUUAUUUAUUUUAUUGUUAUUGAGUAUUUUAAGGAAUUGGUUGAGCCUGGAGAUUAUAUGAAAGAAAAUUGAUUUAUUUUUAUAGAAAAAAAAAGUGCAGUUUGUGACACAACUACUGGCCCCAGUGUCCGAUGUUCUGUUAUAGAGAACAUGUCGAGCCAUAUGUGGCUUUAAUUGCUAUCUGCUCUAAUAAGGAUAAGAUUGUGCAAUUUAAAACUGUUUGUAUGACCACCACUUCACUAAACAUUAAGCGUUUUGCUCCUCUGCUUUGCUACUGAGACCUAAAGUGACAGUUUAUUUUUGUUGAAAUUUAACUGGAAAAUUUUUUCAUUAGUCGAUAUGCAACUCGGUCCUAUCAGUGACACUUAAGGCGAGACUAAAAAAUAAAUGAUGAUGAGAUGGAGGAGCAAUUUUAUGUAAAUAAAAGAGAAUACUUAUAA